Molecule: non-coding RNA, 577 nt
Organism: Doryrhamphus excisus (bluestripe pipefish)
Lineage: Eukaryota; Metazoa; Chordata; Actinopteri; Syngnathiformes; Syngnathidae
Source: RefSeq, a predicted model, not a curated record
AUCUAGUCCGGAAGGGACGACACACCGGUAGCGGUGAGGGACGCAUGGGGAGAAUCGCCGCAGGGGCCGUCCACCGGCGCAACGCUGAACUAAAAAGAGCAGUGUUCGAUCACAACUAUGGAAUUGGCCAGGUUUUGAUGGCGAGCUAGGAACCUGCAUUGAGGCAACCCGCCUGGAAGCUUGAAGCCCAGAUGAACUGAUGAGCUGAUGAGCUGUCAUUCACCCGCUCUGCUCUGAUGGGGCCGGUAGGAGGCUUUGCAGCCGUCCUUUUCCUUUUGUCCCUCUUUGGCCUUCAUAGAAACUUCACUCCUUUCCUCCACCCCUGACCCUCUGGACACCCGAUUACUGGGCCAUUGGACCGUUGUAUGUUUUGGGACUCUCAGUACAUCAGAUGAAUGCAUUUUGUAAAUUGAGCUCAUUGAAAUGUGUAUUGUAAAUUAGUGUUGUGUAUUUGUAUUGUUCUGUUGUGUACUUUAUAAUAUAUGGUACCCCCACAGCUGCAAAUUGUGUGCUCACCUCUUCCUCUCACUCCCAGAGCCCAAAUCUGGAUUUUCUGAUUCUAGCCUAGAUCUUACUC